CCUACGGGCGGCAGCAGUGAGGAAUAUUGGUCAAUGGGCGCGAGCCUGAACCAGCCAAGUAGCGUGAAGGAUGACUGCCCUACGGGUUGUAAACUUCUUUUAUAAAGGAAUAAAGUGAGGCACGUGUGCCUUUUUGUAUGUACUUUAUGAAUAAGGAUCGGCUAACUCCGUGCCAGCAGCCGCGGUAAUACGGAGGAUCCGAGCGUUAUCCGGAUUUAUUGGGUUUAAAGGGAGCGUAGAUGGGUUGUUAAGUCAGUUGUGAAAGUUUGCGGCUCAACCGUAAAAUUGCAAUUGAUACUGGCAGGCUUGAGUAUAGUUGAGGUAGGCGGAAUUCGUGGUGUAGCGGUGAAAUGCUUAGAGAUCACGAAGAACUCCGAUUGCGAAGGCAGCUUACUAAACUGCAACUGACAUUGAGGCUCGAAAGUGUGGGUAUCAAACAGGAUUAGAUACCCGGGUAGUC
Molecule: ribosomal RNA, 460 nt
Filed under: uncultured bacterium
Lineage: Bacteria
Description: partial 16S ribosomal RNA
Rfam family: Bacterial small subunit ribosomal RNA
Source: RNAcentral